This 84-nucleotide transfer RNA is filed under the name Rhodocollybia butyracea. RNAcentral's name for it is "tRNA-Thr". It matches the Rfam family "tRNA". From Rfam's summary of the family: Transfer RNA (tRNA) molecules are approximately 80 nucleotides in length. Lineage: Eukaryota; Fungi; Basidiomycota; Agaricomycetes; Agaricales; Omphalotaceae. The record is from RNAcentral.
UCCUUCUUAGCUCAGUUGGUAGAGCGCGUCACUAGUAGAAAUUAAUUGAUGACGAGGUCAGUCGUUCAAGUCGGCUAGAAGGAA